GAGUUUGAUCUUGGCUCAGAUUGAACGCUGGCGGCGUGCUUAACACAUGCAAGUCGAGCGGUAACAGGCGUAGCAAUACGUGCUGACGAGCGGCGAACGGGUGAGUAAUGCUUCGGAAUCUUCCUCGUAGUGGGGAAUAACCUGGGGAAACUCAGGCUAAUACCGCAUACGAACUACGGUUGAAAGCAGGGGAUCGCAAGACCUUGCGCUAUGAGAUGAGCCGAAGUCGGAUUAGCUAGUUGGUGAGGUAAAGGCUCACCAAGGCGACGAUCCGUAGCUGGUCUGAGAGGACGACCAGCCACACUGGGACUGAGACACGGCCCAGACUCCUACGGGAGGCAGCAGUGGGGAAUAUUGGACAAUGGGGGCAACCCUGAUCCAGCGACGCCGCGUGUGUGAAGAAGGCCUGCGGGUUGUAAAGCACUUUUAGUGGGGAUGAAAAGCCGAAGGCUAAUACCUUUCGGUCUUUGACCUAACCCAAAGAAAAGCACCGGCUAACUCUGUGCCAGCAGCCGCCGUAAC
Molecule: ribosomal RNA, 522 nt
Filed under: uncultured Gammaproteobacteria bacterium
Lineage: Bacteria; Pseudomonadati; Pseudomonadota; Gammaproteobacteria
Description: bacterial SSU rRNA
Rfam family: Bacterial small subunit ribosomal RNA
Source: RNAcentral